AGAGUUUGAUCAUGGCUCAGGAUGAACGCUGGCGGUAUGCCUAACACAUGCAAGUCGUACGAGAGUUUUUAACUCUAGUGGCGGACGGGUGAGUAACACGUGAGAAUUUGCCUUUAGGAGGGGGAUAACAAUUGGAAACGAAUGCUAAUACCCCAUAUGCUUUUGAGUGAAACGGAUUUAUCCGCCUAGAGAGAAGCUCGCGGCUGAUUAGCUUGUUGGUAAGGUAAGAGCUUACCAAGGCGACGAUCAGUAUCUGGUUUGAGAGGACGAUCAGACACACUGGAACUGAGACACGGUCCAGACUCCUACGGGAGGCAGCAGUGGGGAAUUUUCCGCAAUGGGCGAAAGCCUGACGGAGCAAUACCGCGUGAGGGAAGACUGCCUAUGGGUUGUAAACCUCUUUUUUCAGGGAGGAAUAAAUGACGUGUACCUGAAGAAUAAGCAUCGGCUAACUCCGUGCCAGCAGCCGCGGUAAGACGGAGGAUGCAAGUGUUAUCCGGAAUCACUGGGCGUAAAGCGUCUGUAGGUGGCCUAAUAAGUCAACUGUUAAAUCUUGAGGCUCAACUUCAAAAUCGCAGUCGAAACUAUUAGACUAGAGUAUAGUAGAGGUAAAGGGAAUUUCCAGUGGAGCGGUGAAAUGCGUAGAUAUUGGAAAGAACACCGAUGGCGAAAGCACUUUACUGGGCUAUUACUAACACUCAGAGACGAAAGCUAGGGUAGCAAAUGGGAUUAGAUACCCCAGUAGUCCUAGCCGUAAACAAUGGAUACUAGAUGUUGAACAGAUCGACCUGUGCAGUAUCAAAGCUAACGCGUUAAGUAUCCCGCCUGGGAAGUAUGCUCGCAAGAGUGAAACUCAAAG
This 859-nucleotide ribosomal RNA is filed under the name uncultured bacterium. RNAcentral describes it as "bacterial SSU rRNA". It matches the Rfam family "Bacterial small subunit ribosomal RNA", at positions 8 to 906 of the family's 1533-position model. The record is from RNAcentral.